Molecule: ribosomal RNA, 2527 nt
Filed under: Listeria monocytogenes
Lineage: Bacteria; Bacillati; Bacillota; Bacilli; Caryophanales; Listeriaceae
Description: partial 23S ribosomal RNA
Rfam family: Bacterial large subunit ribosomal RNA
Source: RNAcentral
UGGAUCCUGAGUACGGCGGAACACGUGAAAUUCCGUCGGAAUCCGGGAGGACCAUCUCCCAAGGCUAAAUACUCCCUAGUGACCGAUAGUGAACCAGUACCGUGAGGGAAAGGUGAAAAGCACCCCGGAAGGGGAGUGAAACAGUUCCUGAAACCGUGUGCCUACAAGUAGUUAGAGCCCGUUAAUGGGUGAUAGCGUGCCUUUUGUAGAAUGAACCGGCGAGUUACGAUUUGUUGCAAGGUUAAGCGGAAAAAGCGGAGCCGUAGCGAAAGCGAGUCUGAAUAGGGCGCAUAAGUAACAGGUCGUAGACCCGAAACCAGGUGAUCUACCCAUGUCCAGGAUGAAGGUAAGGUAAUACUUACUGGAGGUCCGAACCCACGCACGUUGAAAAGUGCGGGGAUGAGGUGUGGGUAGCGGAGAAAUUCCAAUCGAACUUGGAGAUAGCUGGUUCUCUCCGAAAUAGCUUUAGGGCUAGCCUCGAGGUAAAGAGUCAUGGAGGUAGAGCACUGUUUGGACUAGGGGCCCUUCUCGGGUUACCGAAUUCAGAUAAACUCCGAAUGCCAUGUACUUAUACUCGGGAGUCAGACUGCGAGUGAUAAGAUCCGUAGUCGAAAGGGAAACAGCCCAGACCACCAGUUAAGGUCCCCAAAUAUAUGUUAAGUGGAAAAGGAUGUGGGGUUGCUUAGACAACCAGGAUGUUGGCUUAGAAGCAGCCACCAUUGAAAGAGUGCGUAAUAGCUCACUGGUCGAGUGACCCCGCGCCGAAAAUGUACCGGGGCUAAACAUAUUACCGAAACUGUGGAUGAACCUCUUUAGAGGUUCGUGGUAGGAGAGCGUUCUAAGGGCGGUGAAGUCAGACCGGAAGGACUGGUGGAGCGCUUAGAAGUGAGAAUGCCGGUAUGAGUAGCGAAAGAAGGGUGAGAAUCCCUUCCACCGAAUAUCUAAGGUUUCCUGAGGAAGGCUCGUCCGCUCAGGGUUAGUCGGGACCUAAGCCGAGGCCGAUAGGCGUAGGCGAUGGACAACAGGUAGAGAUUCCUGUACCAGUGCUAAUUGUUUAACCGAUGGGGUGACACAGAAGGAUAGGGAAUCGCACGAAUGGAAAUGUGCGUCCAAGCAGUGAGUGUGAGAAGUAGGCAAAUCCGCUUCUCGCGAAGCAUGAGCUGUGAUGGGGAAGGAAAUUAAGUACGGAAGUUCCUGAUUUCACGCUGUCAAGAAAAGCCUCUAGGAAGAGUAGUACUGCCCGUACCGCAAACCGACACAGGUAGAUGAGGAGAGAAUCCUAAGGUGAGCGAGAGAACUCUCGUUAAGGAACUCGGCAAAAUGACCCCGUAACUUCGGGAGAAGGGGUGCUCUAUUAGGGUGCAAGCCCGAGAGAGCCGCAGUGAAUAGGCCCAGGCGACUGUUUAGCAAAAACACAGGUCUCUGCAAAACCGUAAGGUGACGUAUAGGGGCUGACGCCUGCCCGGUGCUGGAAGGUUAAGAGGAGUGCUUAGCUUCGGCGAAGGUACGAAUUGAAGCCCCAGUAAACGGCGGCCGUAACUAUAACGGUCCUAAGGUAGCGAAAUUCCUUGUCGGGUAAGUUCCGACCCGCACGAAAGGCGCAACGAUCUGGGCACUGUCUCAACGAGAGACUCGGUGAAAUUAUAGUACCUGUGAAGAUGCAGGUUACCCGCGACAGGACGGAAAGACCCCGUGGAGCUUUACUGCAACCUGAUAUGGAAUGUUUGUACCGCUUGUACAGGAUAGGUAGGAGCCGAAGAGACGUGUGCGCUAGCAUACGAGGAGGCAAUGGUGGGAUACUACCCUGGCUGUAUGACCAUUCUAACCCGCCACGCUUAGCGCGUGGGGAGACAGUGUCAGGUGGGCAGUUUGACUGGGGCGGUCGCCUCCUAAAGAGUAACGGAGGCGCCCAAAGGUUCCCUCAGAAUGGAUGGAAAUCAUUCGCAGAGUGUAAAGGCACAAGGGAGCUUGACUGCGAGACUGACAAGUCGAGCAGGGACGAAAGUCGGGCUUAGUGAUCCGGUGGUUCCGCAUGGAAGGGCCAUCGCUCAACGGAUAAAAGCUACCCCGGGGAUAACAGGCUUAUCUCCCCCAAGAGUCCACAUCGACGGGGAGGUUUGGCACCUCGAUGUCGGCUCGUCGCAUCCUGGGGCUGUAGUCGGUCCCAAGGGUUGGGCUGUUCGCCCAUUAAAGCGGCACGCGAGCUGGGUUCAGAACGUCGUGAGACAGUUCGGUCCCUAUCCGUCGCGGGCGCAGGAAAUUUGAGAGGAGCUGUCCUUAGUACGAGAGGACCGGGAUGGACACACCGCUGGUGUACCAGUUGUUCCGCCAGGAGCAUCGCUGGGUAGCUAUGUGUGGCAGGGAUAAACGCUGAAAGCAUCUAAGCGUGAAGCCCCCCUCAAGAUGAGAUUUCCCAUUUCUUCGGAAAGUAAGAUCCCUGAAAGAUGAUCAGGUAGAUAGGUUUGGAGUGGAAGUGUAGCGAUACAUGGAGCGGACAAAUACUAAUCGAUCGAGGACUUAACCAAAA